This 71-nucleotide microRNA precursor is filed under the name Tursiops truncatus (common bottlenose dolphin). RNAcentral describes it as "miRNA (ENSTTRG00000024418.1)". Lineage: Eukaryota; Metazoa; Chordata; Mammalia; Artiodactyla; Delphinidae. The record is from RNAcentral.
UGGCCAAAAAGUUUGUUUGGGUUUUUCAUACAUACUAUCUUACUGAAAAACUCGAAUGAACUAUUUGGCCA